Molecule: long non-coding RNA, 1051 nt
Organism: Arachis duranensis
Lineage: Eukaryota; Viridiplantae; Streptophyta; Magnoliopsida; Fabales; Fabaceae
Exons: 4
Source: RefSeq, a predicted model, not a curated record
CGCCGCGAACCACAAACAGAGGAGAAAGAUAGAGACGCUUUCGCGAGGGAGCUGCCACCGUGGAGGAGCCGUCGCCGCCAAAUCUGCCGCUGCCGAAGCUCUACGCCGCCUAUGCCACCGAAAACCGCCACUGAAGUCCUUUUUUCCUGGGGUUGAGUUGUGGUUCUUGCAUGCUGAGUGCAGUACCCGUGCAUGCGACAUCAGGUUACUGCGUCGUCAACGGAGUCGUCGUCAUUCUUUUUUUUGGAUGCUCGUUGAGUUCAGUUCUCAUGUGCCGUGGUUAAAGUUGUUGUGCUUGCUAUGAAAGAAAUCAGGGCUGAGGCCUAAGUUGCCGUUGAUUUCGGGCUGAGCAAAAAGAGGUCAGUUGACACGUGUGGGUUAUGGUUUUGCUUAUCAAGGUAUUUUCUGGCUGAAAUUGAGGGACUUGAGUAAAAAUCUGAUUCAGAGGCUGAAAAAGGACUGCAGAUGCUGUUGGAUUCUGACCUCCCUGCACUUGAAGUAUAUUUUCUAGAGCUAUAAAACUCUAAAUAGCGCGCUCUCAAUUGCGUUGGAAAGUAGACAUCCAGGACUUUUCAGCAAUAUAUAAUAGUUCAUACUUUGCUUGAGUUUUGACGACGCAAACUGGUGUUCAAACGCCCACUCUCUGCCCUAUUCUGAAGUUAAACGCCAGAAACAAGUUACAAAUUAGAGUUAAACGCCAGAAAUAGGUUACAACCUAGCGUUUAACUCCAAAAGAAGUCUCUACACAUGAAAGCUUCAAUGCUCAGCCCAAGCACACACCAAGUGGGCCCGGAAGUGGAUUUCUGCAUCAUUUACCUUUUUCUGUAAACCUUAGUAGCUAGUUUCAUUAUAAUUAGGACCUCUUACUAUUGUAUUUUCAUUUUCUGGAUGAUAUAUUUUCAUAUUUGGGGAGGCUGGCCAUUCGGCCAUGCCUAGACCUCCAGAUCACUUAUGUAUUUUCAACGGUGGAGUUUCUACACACCAUAGAUUAAGGGUGUGGAGCUCUGCUGUUCCUCGAGUAUUAAUGCAAUUACUACUAUUUUCCAUUCAA